Molecule: small nuclear RNA, 200 nt
Filed under: Erinaceus europaeus (western European hedgehog)
Lineage: Eukaryota; Metazoa; Chordata; Mammalia; Eulipotyphla; Erinaceidae
Description: 7SK RNA
Rfam family: 7SK RNA
About the family: 7SK was discovered as an abundant small nuclear RNA in the mid-70s but a possible function has only recently been suggested. Two independent studies have found that 7SK RNA binds the CDK9/cyclin T complex (known as elongation factor P-TEFb). P-TEFb activates transcription by phosphorylating the C-terminal domain of RNA polymerase II.
Source: Rfam by way of RNAcentral
GGAUUUGAGGGCAAUCUGACUGCAACAUCUGUCACCCCAUUGAUCGCUAGGCUUGAUUUGGCUGAUCUGGCUGUCUAGGCUGGUAUCCCCUUCUUCACUCACCACUUGGUGUGUGGCCUUCCUAGUGCUGUGUGCUCACUCAGAGAUGAUGACCUUCCCCAAAUAGAGAUGGACUGGUCUUCAGUCGAAGGUAUACAGGC